CUUGGGCAACAUAACGAGCUGGGAUUUUUAACUGGUGGAGCGACCCAAACCUUCACACCUAAGGUGUACAAGCCUUUACUGAUCCUACAUGCUGUUCCGUUAAGUUUUAAAAUUGGACUUGGCAGAACCAGAAUGAGUGCUAGAGGAUUUCCUGAGUUGAAGUCCUGAGUUCCCAGGUGGCAAACGAUACCAACUUUUCUUCCUCAUGAUGAUUUCCAGAAGUGAAAAAACGAAAUCCAGAACACACUGUCUUCUUAGGAAACAUGAUGCCAGAGUUACUAGAAGAAAGAUGAAAAGGCCCACCAGAGAGGUGAUGGUGGGCAAGAGUGGUCUUCAGAACUGCAAGGGAGCUCACUGACUCCUGCAGACCCACCAGCCCAACUGCCUGGAAACUGCCAUUGUCCAAGAUAAUCUCCCACUUCGGGCCCCCAAUUUCAGUCUCCCAACAACGCGGGAUUCCGCCUCCAUCCGAUCCAGUGAUUGCAUCCAGUUCUUGGAGCAGCAUGGCGUCCACAGCCGUUUCUGCGGUGCCGUUAUCAACAUAGCACCAGAUUAUCCACCCAGUCUGAGAAUUUAACGCUGCAACUUCGUUUUUCUCUGUGGCUAAAACCAACUUUUUGGAUCCAGGGAAAAUUCCAAGACGGCAAACCUGAGCUUCCCUAAAUACCGCUGUCUCCAAACUUCCCCCCUUGGUCUCUAUAGACAGCAGCUGCACGGAUACGCAGGGAAGCCCAGAGUCAGAAACCAAAAGCCUACGGGCACAGCCGUGCUGGGAGCCUAGGCCCCGCCCGCUGCCGGCCCAGCAUGCACCGCGGCGCAGGCUCGGACUCCGCGGAACCUGAGAGUUGGCACCACACGCAACA
This is a long non-coding RNA of Balaenoptera musculus (blue whale), 863 nucleotides long. RefSeq lists it as uncharacterized. The transcript is spliced from 3 exons. The record is from RefSeq and is a predicted model, not a curated record. Lineage: Eukaryota; Metazoa; Chordata; Mammalia; Artiodactyla; Balaenopteridae.